ACAGAGGGUCGCUACCACGCGAGUGGAUGCCAAUCCCCAAAACCUCUCUCAGUUCGGACUGGAGUCUGCAACCCGACUCCACGAAGCUGGAUUCGCUAGUAAUCGCGCAUCAGCCACGGCGCGGUGAAUACGUUCCCGGGCCUUGUACACACCGCCCGUCAAGCCAUGGGAGCCGGGGGUACCUGAAGUGCGUAACCGCGAGGAGCGCCCUAGGGUAAAACUGGUGACUGGGGCUAAGUCGUAACAAGGUAUC
This 253-nucleotide ribosomal RNA is filed under the name uncultured bacterium. Its description in RNAcentral is "partial 16S ribosomal RNA". It matches the Rfam family "Bacterial small subunit ribosomal RNA", at positions 1239 to 1500 of the family's 1533-position model. The record is from RNAcentral.